This 460-nucleotide ribosomal RNA is filed under the name uncultured bacterium. RNAcentral describes it as "partial 16S ribosomal RNA". It matches the Rfam family "Bacterial small subunit ribosomal RNA", at positions 338 to 795 of the family's 1533-position model. The record is from RNAcentral.
CCUACGGGGGGCUGCAGUGAGGAAUAUUGGUCAAUGGCCGUAAGGCUGAACCAGCCAAGUCGCGUGAAGGAAGAAGGAUCUAUGGUUUGUAAACUUCUUUUAUAGGGGAAUAAAGGUAUCCACGUGUGGAUAUUUGCAUGUACCCUAUGAAUAAGCAUCGGCUAACUCCGUGCCAGCAGCCGCGGUAAUACGGAGGAUGCGAGCGUUAUCCGGAUUUAUUGGGUUUUAAGGGUGCGUAGGUUGUUUUUUAAGUCAGCGGUGAAAGUUUGUGGCUCAACCAUAAAAUUGCCGUUGAAACUGCCUUGCUGGAAUGCGGAUGCCGUGGGAGGAAUGUGUGGUGUAGCGGUGAAAUGCAUAGAUAUCACACAGAACACCGAUUGCGAAGGCAUCUCACGAAUCCGCGAUUGACGCUGAUGCACGAAAGCGUGGGUAUCAAACAGGAUUAGAUACCCGAGUAGUC